UGGGGAAUAUUGCACAAUGGGCGAAAGCCUGAUGCAGCAACGCCGCGUGAGUGAUGACGGUCUUCGGAUUGUAAAGCUCUGUCUUUGGGGACGAUAAUGACGGUACCCAAGGAGGAAGCCACGGCUAACUACGUGCCAGCAGCCGCGGUAAUACGUAGGUGGCAAGCGUUGUCCGGAUUUACUGGGCGUAAAGGGUGCGUAGGCGGACCUUUAAGUGAGAUGUGAAAUCCCCGAGCUUAACUUGGGGGCUGCAUUUCAAACUGGAGGUCUAGAGUGCAGGAGAGGAGAGUGGAAUUCCUAGUGUAGCGGUGAAAUGCGUAGAGAUUAGGAAGGACACCAGUGGCGAAGGCGACUCUCUGGACUGUAACUGACGCUGAGGCACGAAAGCGUG
Molecule: ribosomal RNA, 391 nt
Filed under: uncultured bacterium
Lineage: Bacteria
Description: bacterial SSU rRNA
Rfam family: Bacterial small subunit ribosomal RNA
Source: RNAcentral